This is a long non-coding RNA of Amaranthus tricolor (Joseph's coat), 1837 nucleotides long. RefSeq lists it as uncharacterized. The record is from RefSeq and is a predicted model, not a curated record. The transcript is spliced from 3 exons. Lineage: Eukaryota; Viridiplantae; Streptophyta; Magnoliopsida; Caryophyllales; Amaranthaceae.
UAAGCUGAAUCAAACUUUUUACUGAACUAAACUUGAUUUAGCCGAAUUACAGUCUUAAUGUUUGAUACUUUUGCGAAUUACAGUCUCGAUGUCUUUUUUUUUUUUAAUUUUUUUUAAUGCGAAUUACAGCCUCCAAAGUAGCCUUUUGACCAGUAAGUGUCCGGUUCCGUACAAUUUUAACCGUUGACCACAUUUUUUACCUUUGACUUUCUUUUUUUGUUUUUAAUUUUUUUUGAGUUUUAAUAUUUUUCACAUUUAAUUCUUUUUUGAUAACCCACAUUAGUAAUAAUUAUUAUUUCUCCCUCCCUUCAAUCCUUCCCAGCUACUGAAGUGAUUCAACACACAUUAGUAAUUUAGUGAAAUUCAGAAUCUUGAAAUUGAAUAAUAAUUUAUUAUCCUUUCCUCUAGUGGAUCAAUGUCGAUCUGGUUGAAUUCUGGGCAAAGAGAAAGAAUAACAGUUUCAAUAGAUGAUUAUCUUUUCCUCAAGUAGAUCAAUGGUUAAUUCGAAUUGGUUUAAUUCUCUAAGAUUUGUCCAAAAAAUAUUUACCAAACUACCAUUCCACGUUUGCCUAGAAAAUAUUUUGAUAAAAUUAUUAAUGGCUGAAUUCUGGGCAAGUUUUUCCAACAAUUCAACAACUUGGGGGACAUUAUCGCAAUAAAUAACACCAUUCAGUGUAUCAAAGAUGAAAGGAUUAAGUGGACCACCAAGCUUAAUUGAUUUUCCGAAAAGAGAGAAACAUAAGUCAACGUGAACCAAAUGGCAAUAACAAUUGGUAAGAAUACCAAUAGAGACUGAAGUUGGUUGAAGAAAUUAAUAAUGUUGGAAUGAGGUUGAAGGGGUUUCAAUUUGACCAUGGAAGAGAAUAGCAUAUUGAAGACAAAAACAGCAGGAAAUGGGUGUAAAGAAGCCAAUUGAUGAAAGAGGGAAAGGGGGAAUUCUAAAUCUGGAAACCCUAAUUUGGAUUGUUCUUUCACAUGAUUAAGCAGCAUUUGACGAUCAUUAAUAAUUCUAUCAAAAUAAUUUUCAAGUGGAUCAAGGGCUGAAUUCUCCAAAUUCUCCAUUAUCGCAGGAGUUGAAGAGUUGGAGUUGAGACUUGAAGGGCAAGGACCUGAAGUUAAAACCACUUCUAAGAACGCGUAGGAGCUUACUGAAUAAUUAUAUAGGCUUGGAGUCGAGAGUAAACCCCUAUGGCACCUCGACGGAGAAUGGAUAUGCGAGCGGAAGUUGAACCCAAGUUGGAGUGAUGAGAAUUCAGUCCAAAAAGUCCAAGAUCAUCAAGUUACGGUUCCUACAACACAAGCUACGGUCCAUGCUUUACUUAGCCACGCAAAUGUCAAGCAAAUGGCUGUUAAUUUCGUGGGAUUCUCUUCAAAGCAAUCCUUUAUUACUUGCCUUAAAUGGGAAGUUGAAUACAAGCAGCAACUUGAAUUCUAGCUUUAAUGCUUAAAUGGGAGUUUUUUUUAGGAGAAAUGCAAGAGUUUUUUUUAGGAGAAUAUGGACGGUUCAAAGUAGUUUAAUUAGCCAUAAUUUGCUGUUUAAAUAGCUAUUAAUAAAGGGUCAUUAUUAGCCUUAAAUGCUUAACAUUAAAAAGGCUUAAUUCUAGCUUUAGUUUAAUGCUUUGUUUUCUGAUUUUUUGUAAGGGGGAAAGUUAAAAGGCUCCUUGAAGGGGAAGUUAAAAGGUUCCUUGAGGGAAGUUAAAAGGUUCCUUGAAGACUUGUAACACUUGCAUUAUUUUUAGUAUAAAAGGAACUCAUUGCCAUGCAUUUUAGGCAAGUGAGAUUGAAAACAAAAUUCUGAUUUUCUUUGUGAAUUUCUUUGUGCUUACUUUGUGUUGCA